UCUCCGUUGGUGAACCAGCGGAGGGAUCAUUACUGAGUAUCUUACUCUCUACCCUUUGUGAACCAUUAUACCUGUUGCUUCGGCGGCGCCCCCCCGGGGGUGCCCGCCGGUGAUCAGAAUCUCUGUUUUCGAACCCGACGAUACUUCUGAGUGUUCUUAGCGAACUGUCAAAACUUUUAACAACGGAUCUCUUGGCUCCAGCAUCGAUGAAGAACGCAGC
RNAcentral lists this unclassified non-coding RNA (220 nucleotides) under uncultured fungus. RNAcentral's name for it is "sequence contains ITS1, 5.8S rRNA gene". The stretch from base 172 to 220 matches the Rfam family "5.8S ribosomal RNA", at positions 1 to 49 of the family's 154-position model. Lineage: Eukaryota; Fungi. The record is from RNAcentral.